UCUAAAACUCAAGAUAUGGGCUGAACACUGAACAAUGUCUGGGCUGCAAGACAGAUUUCGAGUUCUUCGUUGUUGCUACAAUUUGAACUUGAAAACGAUCCUUUUCAAUCUUAGACUCUUCAUGAAAGUUUUAGGCCUAUGUCUUAGCUUUCUAUA
Non-coding RNA from Populus trichocarpa (black cottonwood), 156 nucleotides. The record is from Rfam. Lineage: Eukaryota; Viridiplantae; Streptophyta; Magnoliopsida; Malpighiales; Salicaceae.